GGCGAACGCUGGCGGCGUGCCUAAUACAUGCAAGUUGAGCGCUGAAGGUUGGUACUUGUACCAACUGGAUGAGCAGCGAACGGGUGAGUAACGCGUGGGGAAUCUGCCUUUGAGCGGGGGACAACAUUUGGAAACGAAUGCUAAUACCGCAUAAAAACUUUAAACACAAGUUUUAAGUUUGAAAGAUGCAAUUGCAUCACUCAAAGAUGAUCCCGCGUUGUAUUAGCUAGUUGGUGAGGUAAAGGCUCACCAAGGCGAUGAUACAUAGCCGACCUGAGAGGGUGAUCGGCCACAUUGGGACUGAGACACGGCCCAAACUCCUACGGGAGGCAGCAGUAGGGAAUCUUCGGCAAGAGACGAAAGUCUGACCGAGCAACGCCGCGUGAGUGAAGAAGGUUUUCGGAUCGUAAAACUCUGUUGGUAGAGAAGAACGUUGGUGAGAGUGGAAAGCUCAUCAAGUGACGGUAACUACCCAGAAAGGGACGGCUAACUACGUG
RNAcentral lists this ribosomal RNA (497 nucleotides) under uncultured bacterium. Its description in RNAcentral is "partial 16S ribosomal RNA". It matches the Rfam family "Bacterial small subunit ribosomal RNA", at positions 28 to 507 of the family's 1533-position model. The record is from RNAcentral.